UACGUAGGGGGCGAGCGUUGUCCGAAGUUACUGGGCGUAAAGCGCGCGUAGGCGGCUCUCUAAGUCUGGUGUGAAAGGUUCAGGGCUCAACCCGAACAGUGCACUGGAUACUGGGGAGCUUGAGUGCGGGAGAGGAGAGUGGAAUUCCUGGUGUAGCGGUGAAAUGCGUAGAUAUCAGGAGGAACACCGGUGGCGAAGGCGCCACUCUGGGCCGAAACUGACGCUGAGGAGCGAAAGCGUGGGUAGCAAACAGG
This 254-nucleotide ribosomal RNA is filed under the name uncultured bacterium. RNAcentral's name for it is "partial 16S ribosomal RNA". It matches the Rfam family "Bacterial small subunit ribosomal RNA", at positions 524 to 776 of the family's 1533-position model. The record is from RNAcentral.